GGUUCGAUUCUGGCUCAGGAUGAACGCUAGCUACAGGCUUAACACAUGCAAGUCGAGGGGCAGCAUGGUCUUAGCUUGCUAAGGCCGAUGGCGACCGGCGCACGGGUGAGUAACACGUAUCCAACCUGCCGUCUACUCUUGGACAGCCUUCUGAAAGGAAGAUUAAUACAAGAUGGCAUCAUGAGUCCGCAUGUUCACAUGAUUAAAGGUAUUCCGGUAGACGAUGGGGAUGCGUUCCAUUAGAUAGUAGGCGGGGUAACGGCCCACCUAGUCUUCGAUGGAUAGGGGUUCUGAGAGGAAGGUCCCCCACAUUGGAACUGAGACACGGUCCAAACUCCUACGGGAGGCAGCAGUGAGGAAUAUUGGUCAAUGGGCGAGAGCCUGAACCAGCCAAGUAGCGUGAAGGAUGACUGCCCUAUGGGUUGUAAACUUCUUUUAUAAAGGAAUAAAGUCGGGUAUGGAUACCCGUUUGCAUGUACUUUAUGAAUAAGGAUCGGCUAACUCCGUGCCAGCAGCCGCGGUAAUACGGAGGAUCCGAGCGUUAUCCGGAUUUAUUGGGUUUAAAGGGAGCGUAGAUGGAUGUUUAAGUCAGUUGUGAAAGUUUGCGGCUCAACCGUAAAAUUGCAGUUGAUACUGGAUAUCUUGAGUGCAGUUGAGGCAGGCGGAAUUCGUGGUGUAGCGGUGAAAUGCUUAGAUAUCACGAAGAACUCCGAUUGCGAAGGCAGCCUGCUAAGCUGCAACUGACAUUGAGGCUCGAAAGUGUGGGUAUCAAACAGGAUUAGAUACCCUGGUAGUCCACACGGUAAACGAUGAAUACUCGCUGUUUGCGAUAUACUGCAAGCGGCCAAGCGAAAGCGUUAAGUAUUCCACCUGGGGAGUACGCCGGCAACGGUGAAACUCAAAGGAAUUGACGGGGGCCCGCACAAGCGGAGGAACAUGUGGUUUAAUUCGAUGAUACGCGAGGAACCUUACCCGGGCUUAAAUUGCAGAUGAAUUACGGUGAAAGCCGUAAGCCGCAAGGCAUCUGUGAAGGUGCUGCAUGGUUGUCGUCAGCUCGUGCCGUGAGGUGUCGGCUUAAGUGCCAUAACGAGCGCAACCCUUGUUGUCAGUUACUAACAGGUUCCGCUGAGGACUCUGACAAGACUGCCAUCGUAAGAUGUGAGGAAGGUGGGGAUGACGUCAAAUCAGCACGGCCCUUACGUCCGGGGCUACACACGUGUUACAAUGGGGGGUACAGAGGGCCGCUACCACGCGAGUGGAUGCCAAUCCCCAAAACCUCUCUCAGUUCGGACUGGAGUCUGCAACCCGACUCCACGAAGCUGGAUCCGCUAGUAAUCGCGCAUCAGCCACGGCGCGGUGAAUACGUUCCCGGGCCUUGUACACACCGCCCGUCAAGCCAUGGGAGCCGGGGGUACCUGAAGUGCGUAACCGCGAGGAGCGCCCUAGGGUAAAACUGGUGACUGGGGCUAAGUCGUAACAAGGUAUCC
RNAcentral lists this ribosomal RNA (1487 nucleotides) under uncultured bacterium. RNAcentral's name for it is "bacterial SSU rRNA". It matches the Rfam family "Bacterial small subunit ribosomal RNA". The record is from RNAcentral.